GACGAACGCUGGCGGUGUGCCUAAUACAUGCAAGUCGAACGCUUCUUUCCUCCCGAGUGCUUGCACUCCAUUGGAAAGAGGAGUGGCGGACGGGUGAGUAACACGUGGGUAACCUACCCAUCAGAGGGGGAUAACACUUGGAAACAGGUGCUAAUACCGCAUAACAGUUUAUGCCGCAUGGCAUAAGAGUGAAAGGCGCUUUCGGGUGUCGUUGAUGGAUGGACCCGCGGUGCAUUAGCUAGUUGGUGAGGUAACGGCUCACCAAGGCCACGAUGCAUAGCCGACCUGAGAGGGUGAUCGGCCACACUGGGACUGAGACACGGCCCAGACUCCUACGGGAGGCAGCAGUAGGGAAUCUUCGGCAAUGGACGAAAGUCUGACCGAGCAACGCCGCGUGAGUGAAGAAGGUUUUCGGAUCGUAAAACUCUGUUGUUAGAGAAGAACAAGGACGUUAGUAACUGAACGUCCCCUGACGGUAUCUAACCAGAAAGCCACGGCUAACUACGUG
RNAcentral lists this ribosomal RNA (508 nucleotides) under uncultured bacterium. Its description in RNAcentral is "partial 16S ribosomal RNA". It matches the Rfam family "Bacterial small subunit ribosomal RNA", at positions 28 to 507 of the family's 1533-position model. The record is from RNAcentral.